ACAACUUCUGGCGAGGCUCUAACAAGCCGUAUCCCUCGCCAGCGGCCGAAAACUCACCUGUUGGCCGGGGCAUUGGCCUGUAGGUUCUACUGCUGCCACUGCCACUGCCGCUGCCGCUGCGGCUGCUUUUAUUUUCGGUCCAAUUAUGCUCAAGCCAUUAUUAUUACUUGCCAGCCAGGCACACUCGACCAGCAGCAGGUGCAAAGGUCACGCAAGUCACUUAAAAUGCGUUCACAGCUGAAAAUCUAGACCAGCAGCAAGCAAAGAUUCCUUGCAAGAUGAUCCGCAGGCGAAGCAUCAUUAGUGGCACACACAGAAAGAAACAAUCUAUCAAAUAUACCAAACCAACAAGAUGAUCACAGGCCAAGGAUCGUCAGCCUUCGUGCUGCUUCAUUUAAAUAUAAACAAUUAAGUAUCAAGUAUUCCAUGACGAACCUCUGCGCAUAAUCAAAGACCCAUAGAAAUAAUCAAUCUAUCAAAAUGUUUGCAGAUCUCUGAAACGGAAACCCAAAGAGUGUGGCAAGCAAAGAAGGUCACAGAAAGGAGCAUCGAAACGGAUGAGGAUGAGGAUGCGGAUGCGCCUAGCCCAGCCUAGUCACAGGCCCCGUCGACACAAUCAAUCUUGUGUGCUGCUAGAUCUGGAUUAGACUGCCUCGUCCGAUCUGCAUACGCUCUGCAUAAUAUGCUCAUGCAUCAUCUGAGCGACACCAACCGACUGGCAUAAUUGCCAAUAUUCCUUGG
This is a long non-coding RNA of Drosophila obscura, 741 nucleotides long. RefSeq lists it as uncharacterized. NCBI's taxonomy places the organism in Eukaryota, Metazoa, Arthropoda, Insecta, Diptera, Drosophilidae. The record is from RefSeq and is a predicted model, not a curated record. The transcript is spliced from 2 exons.